AGAGUUUGAUCCUGGCUCAGGAUGAACGCCGGCGGUGUGCCUAAUACAUGCAAGUCGUACGCACUGGCCCAACUGAUUGAUGGUGCUUGCACCUGAUUGACGAUGGAUCACCAGUGAGUGGCGGACGGGUGAGUAACACGUAGGUAACCUGCCCCGGAGCGGGGGAUAACAUUUGGAAACAGAUGCUAAUACCGCAUAACAAUAAAAGCCGCAUGGCUUUUAUUUGAAAGAUGGCUUUGGCUAUCACUCUGGUAUGGACCUGCGGUGCAUUAGCUAGUUGGUAAGGUAACGGCUUACCAAGGCGAUGAUGCAUAGCCGAGUUGAGAGACUGAUCGGCCACAAUGGAACUGAGACACGGUCCAUACUCCUACGGGAGGCAGCAGUAGGGAAUCUUCCACAAUGGGCGCAAGCCUGAUGGAGCAACACCGCGUGAGUGAAGAAGGGUUUCGGCUCGUAAAGCUCUGUUGUUGGAGAAGAACGUGCGUGAGAGUAACUGUUCAUGCAGUGACGGUAUCCAACCAGAAAGUCACGGCUAACUACGUGCCAGCAGCCGCGGUAAUACGUAGGUGGCAAGCGUUAUCCGGAUUUAUUGGGCGUAAAGCGAGCGCAGGCGGUUGCUUAGGUCUGAUGUGAAAGCCUUCGGCUUAACCGAAGAAGUGCAUCGGAAACCGGGCGACUUGAGUGCAGAAGAGGACAGUGGAACUCCAUGUGUAGCGGUGGAAUGCGUAGAUAUAUGGAAGAACACCAGUGGCGAAGGCGGCUGUCUGGUCUGCAACUGACGCUGAGGCUCGAAAGCAUGGGUAGCGAACAGGAUUAGAUACCCUGGUAGUCCAUGCCGUAAACGAUGAGUGCUAGGUGUUGGAGNNNNNCGCCCUUCAGUGCCGGAGCUAACGCAUUAAGCACUCCGCCUGGGGAGUACGACCGCAAGGUUGAAACUCAAAGGAAUUGACGGGGGCCCGCACAAGCGGUGGAGCAUGUGGUUUAAUUCGAAGCUACGCGAAGAACCUUACCAGGUCUUGACAUCUUGCGCUAACCUUAGAGAUAAGGCGUUCCCUUCGGGGACGCAAUGACAGGUGGUGCAUGGUCGUCGUCAGCUCGUGUCGUGAGAUGUUGGGUUAAGUCCCGCAACGAGCGCAACCCUUGUUACUAGUUGCCAGCAUUGAGUUGGGCACUCUAGUGAGACUGCCGGUGACAAACCGGAGGAAGGUGGGGACGACGUCAGAUCAUCAUGCCCCUUAUGACCUGGGCUACACACGUGCUACAAUGGACGGUACAACGAGUUGCAAACUCGCGAGAGCAAGCUAAUCUCUUAAAGCCGUUCUCAGUUCGGACUGUAGGCUGCAACUCGCCUACACGAAGUCGGAAUCGCUAGUAAUCGCGGAUCAGCAUGCCGCGGUGAAUACGUUCCCGGGCCUUGUACACACCGCCCGUCACACCACGGGAGUUUGUAACGCCCAAAGUCGGUGGCCUAACCUUUGUGGAGGGAGCUGCCUAAGGCGGGACAGAUGACUGGGGUGAAGUCGUAACAAGGUAACC
RNAcentral lists this ribosomal RNA (1536 nucleotides) under uncultured bacterium. RNAcentral describes it as "bacterial SSU rRNA". It matches the Rfam family "Bacterial small subunit ribosomal RNA". The record is from RNAcentral.